Long non-coding RNA from Bactrocera oleae (olive fruit fly), 2496 nucleotides. RefSeq lists it as uncharacterized. The record is from RefSeq and is a predicted model, not a curated record. NCBI's taxonomy places the organism in Eukaryota, Metazoa, Arthropoda, Insecta, Diptera, Tephritidae.
CACACAUUUUGGUUAUGGUAUUGUUAACUUCUUUGAAUGUGAGUUACAUUUUUUAUUAUUUUCUUAACGUUUUUCUACUUUACUAAAAUCAGCCGUAUCCUUCUUCUUAGCGUUUAGGGCUGUAACUACUUAAGCGAUCAUUGAUUGCCAGUUAUUUCUUCACUUCUUAAUAUGGCAUCAAUUUGAAAAUUCAAAUAAAAACUAAAUCACUUUCAUUUGGUCCUCUCUGUCUUUUUUGUUAUCAGCUGGUCCAACAUUGAAGAGUUUCAUAGUUCAGCAGCCAUUCAAACCACAUGAUCUUAAAGUGGGGUAUGUGGAUGCCGUUAUAAAUGUCGUCCAAUCAUAAAAAUUGUAGCAAAACCUCCUAAAGAAACUAUAAUUACUCCGAACUGCAAUAUUUUUAUAACAGCGCUACCCAUUAUAUGCUUUCUGAACAUAAAAGUGACCACAACUUAUGUUAAUAUGAAUAAUUAUUUGGUGGAAACAUUUUAGAAGACGUAAUGAAGACUGCGACCUCUUGCUAGAACGGUACAGAGAUUCGACGCUUUAACCAUUUCCGUCCACUGAAAUAGUUCAACGUACUAUUUACUGCGUCGCCGAAUUAAAUGCCGGCUGUGAAAAGGAAGAAAAAAGAUUAGAAAAAAUUGCCAUUUAAAAUAUUCAACACGUGCGAAUAACAGUGUGUUUUGCACUUUGAACCAAACUUGCAACCAUGAACACUUCUGCUGAUACCUAAGCAUUUGAGCGCGUGCCUUUAAGCCUAUUUUUAUGCUGAUUGUCGUCACAUCAAUGGCCAAUAUUUUUUAUAAAUAUAUAUAUGAAAGUAUGCAAGUGGCACAGGGCAGAUGCGAUUUUAUGUUAAUCGUAACCGAACACGCACUCAUAGCGCAAAGCGGACGGACAGAUAUGCAGACGAACCGCGUGCCGGUUUGCGCGUAAAUGUCGACGCACUUCGUCAUUUCAACGCCUCCUUUAUGGGGCUCUGAAGAAGGGCCACACGCAAGCACAACAGAUAUGGACAAACACUUGCGCGUUCGCGCUUAACAACAAUCAAUGCCCCGGGGACAUUUAAAGUUUAAAAAUGAAAAUCACCAAAACGACGCGCUUGACUUGGCGUCUGUGGCGAGCGCGAUGACUGGUGACCGGUCUCAGUGGAGGCAAAAUAAAGCUAAAAACAACACAGUAACAACAAGGCGUCAUCGCACCACAGGAGUGAAAAUAAUCAAUUCAAUUAAAUCGCGCUACUAAAAGGCGACGCGUCAGCUGCGCGGCCGCCGCCGCCACCAUGACCGCGACCGUUGCGGUAGUCAAAGCUGAGGAAACGCAUAAAAUAUGCGAUAUUACAUGCGACAUACCGCAGCAAAACAACCAUGAGUAGUUACAACAACAGCAGCAGCAACAAUAACAAUAAAAACAAAAAUGUUGACUCUGUGUCGCUAUGUAGGAGGUACAAUCGGCCGCAGAGAUUAUGACCAAAUGACAGUGAAUGGCGGGCGAUAGCAACUGCGAUUGCGAUUGCGAAGGUGAUGGCGAUGGCGAUGACGAUGGCAUAGCCGUUGACGGCGCGGUUGCGGGUACAUAUGCGAACGCGUACGCCAAUGCGAAAGUGAAUGUGAACGCGGAUGAUGAGGUUGGUGCUGGCGAUGGCGAUGACGAUGCUGAUAGUGGCGGCAGAAAAGCCAAUGGCGCGUUGUUUUGCUGUUAUUGCUGCCGUUAUGCCGCCUUUACGGGAAUGGUCUUGGCGCUGUUACCAGCCAGCGAGUGACGUAGAGCUAUGGCGUUGCGGUAAUAUGGCAGCUGAUAGUGUUGCAUAUGAUAACUGCCGCCGCAUCGCAGGACUGUUGCUAGGUUGCCAUUGAGUGGGACGUUUGCGCCUUUUACCACCUCAAAUAAUGAGUGCAGCGCGUGCGUGUGGUAGCCUUGGCGUGGCGGCAGUUGAUUAUGGCAGCCGUGGCAGGCUGGCAAAGUCACCAAAAGCUCAUGAAAUAUUCAUUAAAAAUUUAUAGCGUGGCGUUUGGCGCAUAAACGUUCAGAUUCUUUUUCCUCUUUUUUUUUGUUUUUGCAAUUUUUUUGCAAAUAAAAUUGGAGUUCAGGCGCAACCGGAAAAUAUUAAAACCCCUUAAAAUGUACCAAAUUGUAAUAAUAAAACAAAGUGUUUGGUGUUUAAGAAAAAGCCAUAAAUGUUUGCUAUCAUGUCACGCCGUUGUUGCUCAUUUCGGUUGUUGUUGUUAUUCGUCGUAUUAAAAGGCAAUUUGUUUCAUCCAGAAGGUGCAGUCACUGAGUGCCCCUCUGUGGUGGCAUUGUGGAAGGUUAAGUUUUAUCAAGUCUUUAAAGUAUUUAGUUAUUUAACUUAUCUCACAGUAUAUUUUCAGUGCGAUUUUGUGGUCAGUUUUAUGGUUCAUUAGUCGUCGUAAUUUUUUCUAAAUACCUAUGGUUGCCACUCUUCACCGUCAAUAUUAAAUUAAAUGGCAAACACCCCGCAGAAACAUAUUCAAG